GCUCAUUUCUUUCUUCUUUUCUCUAUACGUUGGUGUUCUAACCAAAAUCACCAAAGCGAUGUCCUGUCCGAUCGAUUCAGGAACCAUCCAACGAAUACCGAAGUGCUGUGCUUUGUGAAUUUCGUUAAACGGAAUCCAAAGUACUAUAUUUUGUGAGUUCAUUAAAUGGAUACCAAAGUACUGUCUGAAUAAGACUAUACUUUGCGAAAUUCGUUAAGGUUCGAAUCUCGUGACUACCGUUAAGGUUUGAUUUGGGUUUUACACAAAUACGUAUUCCAUUCUGUUAAACUAUAUGUUUAACUACCAAAAAUACUCCCAGCUACACACUCACAAUCAAACAAACUAUUAAAUCAUCAGAAGAUCCAGAAUAAUAAAGUGCAUGCUUAAUUAUCGGAAGAAGUAGAAUCAAGAAGCUUGUUAACUCAAUCUUGCAUGCUUAUAAAGUGAGUCAUUCUCUUUUUAUCAACUGUUUUACAAAACUCCAAAUUAUUUUCCAAAGUUAUAAUUACAGGGAUUAAGUCUAUGUAAUCACCAAAUUACAGCCGGUAUGUGGGGUUUUGUAUACAUUACUUAUUUCCCGUCACCAUUGGACAACGUGUUAGCCAAGGGGUGAUCUGACCACAGUCACAGACACCAUUUGGACAACGAGAUAGCCAAUGGGUAGUCGAGUGACAAAUAUUGUGGGUAAUUACAGUAGAUUGGAGUAAGGAUUGGAUCCAGCACUGAAGGACUUCAAGAAGUGGCUUAUUUUAUUAAUUAAAUCAACUUAAGAAAAAUUGUUUUUGGGUUUAUCCCGUAUUAAAAGCUACCUUUGUAAAACAUGGAAUUUAUUCCAUCUAUUUAAGUAAAAUCCGGUGUUUCUAAACUCUGAUAUUUUUCCUAACUCACGGUCCUGAUGAAAUUUCCGCUGCAAUGUUUUUCAAAAUAAUCACCGGUACCACUUGACUGCUCACGGCUUCCGAUUCCGGCCAGGAUGGGGUUGACACCUUUUCUUUAAAGAUCAACACAAUCCGGAAUAUAUCUUCAUAUUCGGCGCUUGUUAUUCAAGUAUUUUCCUCUCUUCUCUUCUUCAUUUUCUUUUUUUUCUUGAAUCCAUGGCCAAAAUAGGCAUUCGGUCCUCACCUGGAGUGAGCCCUAAUAAGAAUGACAGUAUCAAGUCUCAAAACUUACUGAUGAAUCCUUCAUCAGAAAUAUGCAAGUUCACCGACCCUUAAAUCCAAAGCCUUGCAUCUUGUUUUCCUCCGAGAGCCAUCUUUAGGCCAUUUGAUCCUACUGCUCGCAACAAUGCGAUUUCUGUAGGAUCAAAUCAAGCCAAAAUCUGAUUUUGUAUAAUAAAUCAAGAUGA
This 1345-nucleotide long non-coding RNA is filed under the name Helianthus annuus (common sunflower). Its description in RNAcentral is "hypothetical non coding rna". The record is from RNAcentral. Lineage: Eukaryota; Viridiplantae; Streptophyta; Magnoliopsida; Asterales; Asteraceae.